CCUACGGGAGGCAGCAGUGGGGAAUAUUGCGCAAUGGGGGCAACCCUGACGCAGCAACGCCGCGUGAUUGAAGAAGGCCUUCGGGUUGUAAAGAUCUUUAAUCGGGGACGAAUUUUGACGGUACCCGAAGAAUAAGCUCCGGCUAACUACGUGCCAGCAGCCGCGGUAAUACGUAGGGAGCAAGCGUUAUCCGGAUUUACUGGGUGUAAAGGGCGUGUAGGCGGGCAUGCAAGCCAGAAGUGAAAUCUGGGGGCUUAACCCCCAAACUGCUUUUGGAACUGCGUGUCUUGAGUGAUGGAGAGGCAGGCGGAAUUCCCAGUGUAGCGGUGAAAUGCGUAGAUAUUGGGAGGAACACCGAUUGCGAAGGCAUCUCACGAAUCCGCGAUUGACGCUGAUGCACGAAAGCGUGGGUAUCAAACAGGAUUAGAUACCCUUGUAGUC
This 441-nucleotide ribosomal RNA is filed under the name uncultured bacterium. Its description in RNAcentral is "partial 16S ribosomal RNA". It matches the Rfam family "Bacterial small subunit ribosomal RNA", at positions 338 to 795 of the family's 1533-position model. The record is from RNAcentral.